RNAcentral lists this long non-coding RNA (1355 nucleotides) under Lonchura striata (white-rumped munia). RNAcentral's name for it is "domestica (Bengalese finch) lncRNA (ENSLSDG00000007596.1)". Lineage: Eukaryota; Metazoa; Chordata; Aves; Passeriformes; Estrildidae. The record is from RNAcentral.
UUCGGGUCUCGGCGUGCCGCCGCGGGGACCCUCGGGGUGGGAAUUCCGGCCCUGACGGGAAAUCUGGGAUGGAAAUCUGGGAUGGAAAUUCCAGCCCUGACGGGAAAUCUGGGAUGGAAAUCUGGGAUGGAAAUCCCAAUCCUGACGGGAAAUCUGGGAUGGAAAUAUGGGAUGGAAAUCCCAACCCUGACGGGAAAUCUGGGAUGGAAAUCUGGGAUGGAAAUCCCAAUCCUGACGGGAAAUCUGGGAUGGAAAUCUGGGAUGGAAAUCCCAAUCCUGACGGGAAAUCUGGGAUGGAAAUCUGGGAUAGAAAUCCCAACCCUGCCAGGAAAUCUGGGAUGGAAAUCCCAACCCUGCCAGGAAUCCCGGGAUGGAAAUCUGGGAUGGAAAUCCCAACCCUGCCAGGAAAUCUGGGAUGGAAAUCCCAACCCUUCCAUGGUCCAUCCCAACCUUUCAGGAAUCCCAGGAUGGAAAUCCCAACCCUGCCGGGAAAUCUGGGAUGGACAUCCCAAUCCAAAUCCUUCCAGGACCCUCAGGAUGGACAUCCCAACCCUUCCAGGGUCCAUCCCAAUCCUUCCAGGAACUCCAACCCUUCCAGGAAUCCCACAAUGGGCCCCCCAACCCUGCCAGGACCCUCACGAUGGACACCCCAAAACUUUGGCAUCCCUGGAAUGGGAAUUCCAUCUCUUUGGGAUCUCCAGCCCCAUUUUGGGACAGGAAUUCCAAACUUUUGGGGUCUCCAGCCCCAUUUUGGGACGGGAAUUCCAAACUUUUGGGGUCUCCUCGGCCCUUUGGGGUCUCCUGCCCCAUUUUGGGAUAUCCUGGCACGGGAAUCCCGAGCCCACUCCGGUGGUUUUGGGGUUUCCUGGAGAAAUCCCAGCCCUGUCCCCGCUGGCCCGGGGAUUUUGGGGUCAGGAUUUGGGGUUUGGAUUUUGGGUUCUGAUUUUGGGGUCAGGGUUUUGGGGUCUGAUUUUGGGGUCUGAUUUUGGGAUCUGGAUUUUGGGGUCUGGACUUUGAGGUUUGGAUUUUGGGGUCUGAUUUUGAGGCCUGGAUUUUGGGGUCUGGAUUUUGGGGUGACACAGCGCUAGUGACCAAAGUUGUACAGGCAGGAGGGGGCUGAGGGUCCCCCCCAAAACCCCCCCUGGGGUUUUUUGGGGUCAGAGAGCUUGACCCCAAAAAAACAAAAAUAAGCACAAAAAAGUUCCCCCUGGGUGAACUCCUGUAAGUUAUUGGGAGAAGGUUGAAUUAUUUUUGUUAAUCACAUCUCGACGAUCAGUUCCUAAAAAAAAACGCAGGGAGAUUUUAGAAAUAAUAAUAAUAAUAAAAAAAAAAUAAUAAUAAUUAAUAAUUAAUAA